CCCACCCAGCGGUCGGCUAAACAACCUGCAGACAAAAGCCUGUGAGUUGAACAAAGGCAAAUGUGUGGCCCUCGAGCAACGGCGAGGGAGCCAGGAGCACAUGGGCGUGCGGACCAACUACUCGUUAGUAGUCAGGCUGACCCUAUGGUGGGGCACUCCUAGUCGAGUGUGGUGGAUCGGACUCUCAUCUCCUGUUGCGUUAAGCGCGAUGUGGGAGAUUGUGAGUUUCUUUGUUGCUGGUGGCAUUUGGGUCGACAUCAGUCGUGCCCGUAAACAACUGCCUUGGCUCGUGCCUCUGUGCGUAUUACCUCUCGCAGGUGCGUGCAUUGAAAGGCCAUAGCUGGCGAUCACUCUUGCGGCCAGGGCACUACCUUUAGCCUGGUUAAUGGCAGUUGGUAUUGCGCACAGGUCCAAAAGGAUAUCGUAAUACGAGAGUCGGGUCUCUGAUACUCUAGCCCGCUUCGCACGGUGUGGAGUGGUGAUUUGACGGUCCCUGCGUAUACGCUUCUCUGGUAAAGGUUCGUCUCUCGUACUAUUCGAGAAUGACAAGCUCUACUUCUUUUGUUCACACACAUGCUGACAGACGAAAAAACGCCUGACGAGAUCAGGAAGGAUUUUCUAACAGUGUGAAAAAAGUAACAGAUUGGCCUGCAGUGUCGCACCACUCUACCUUAAAGCACCGUGUGCAACCGUUGGUAUGAGAGAGGCUCGCAUGCCAUAGCUGGCGAUAACUCUUGCGGCCAGGGCACUACCUUUAGCCUGGUUAAUGGCAGUUGGUAUUGCGCACAGGUCUAAAAGGAUAUCCUAAUACGAGAGUCGGGUCUCUGAUACUCUAGCCCGCUUCGCACGGUGUGGAGUGGUGAUUUGACGGUCCCUGCGUAUACGCUUCUCUGGUAAAGGUUCGUCUCUCGUACUAUUCGAGAAUGACAAGCUCCACUUCUUUUGUUCACACACAUGCUGGCAGACGAAGAAACGCCUGACGAGAUCAGGAAGGAUUUUCUAACAGUGUGAAAAAAGUAACAGAUUGGCCUGCAGUGUCGCACCACUCUACUUUAAAGCACCGUGUGCAACCGUUGGUAUGAGAGAGACUCGCAUGCUCGUGUGGUAAUGCCACCACCUCGACUUAGGAGAGGUUACCCGCUGAACUUAAGCAUAUCAGUAAGCGGAGGAAAAGAAACCAAUCAGGGAUUCCCUUAGUAGGGGCGACCGAAACAGGGAUGAGCCCAGCGCAGAACCUCCCGGGCCACCCGGCCUGCGGCGGAAUGUUGCGUUAAGGGAAAGGUCGUAGUCAAACCCCACAGCCACGCGAGCUCUAAGUAAGUCACGAAUUGGCUAUCCCAACUAACGGCGGGAAAAUCUCCACGGAGGGUGUAAGACCCGUGUGGGCGCGUGCAAAUGCUGUGUGGGCUCGGCCUCUUUUCCCUGAGAGUCCCGUUGCUUGAGCAUGCAGCGCUAAGCAGGUCGUAAACUCGAUCUAAGGCUAAAUAUGUCCACAAGACCGAUAGCGAACAAGUACCGUGGAGGGAAAGUUGAA
RNAcentral lists this ribosomal RNA (1534 nucleotides) under Niphargus stygius. RNAcentral's name for it is "eukaryotic LSU rRNA". The stretch from base 1114 to 1534 matches the Rfam family "Eukaryotic large subunit ribosomal RNA", at positions 1 to 368 of the family's 3401-position model. Lineage: Eukaryota; Metazoa; Arthropoda; Malacostraca; Amphipoda; Niphargidae. The record is from RNAcentral.